GCGUUUGUUUUUCUGCACAGAUGUCCCCAUCACGAUCAAAGUAUCUGGAAAACUGUUUGCGUUCCCGGCGUGGCCCCAGCUCCACCCAUAGUCAGCGCUUACAGUAAUAGCUGUUCCACCUCCUUCUCCCCUUCCCCCAUUAAAUAGUUGGAAAGGAACAGCCACCUACUCCGGUUAGCUUCUCUGAAGCCAACAAAACUAAGGCGGGGCGGGAAUCUAAACUUGUGCCUCAUAUUCUGUGGAUCAUUAGGAGAAAUAUAUUCAAAACAAGAUACUAAUUGAUAUUGGGAGAAGUGCAUACUCUCAUCUCUGCUUGCAAGAAAGUGACAUUCUGUACCCUUCUAAAGGACAAUACAUCAAG
Long non-coding RNA from Candoia aspera, 361 nucleotides. RefSeq lists it as uncharacterized. The transcript has 3 exons. Lineage: Eukaryota; Metazoa; Chordata; Lepidosauria; Squamata; Candoiidae. The record is from RefSeq and is a predicted model, not a curated record.